RNAcentral lists this ribosomal RNA (304 nucleotides) under uncultured bacterium. RNAcentral describes it as "partial 16S ribosomal RNA". It matches the Rfam family "Bacterial small subunit ribosomal RNA", at positions 506 to 807 of the family's 1533-position model. The record is from RNAcentral.
CAGCAGUCGCCACGGUAAUACGUAGGUGGCAAGCGUUGUCCGGAAUUAUUGGGCGUAAAGGGCGCGUAGGCGGACUGAUAAGUCAGGGGUGAAAUCCCAAGGCUCAACCUUGGAACUGCCUUUGAUACUGUUUGUCUUGAGUUCGAGAGAGGUAAGUGGAACUGCGAGUGUAGAGGUGAAAUUCGUAGAUAUUCGCAAGAACACCAGUGGCGAAGGCGGCUUACUGGCUCGAAACUGACGCUGAGGCGCGAAAGCGUGGGGAGCAAACAGGAUUAGAUACCCGAGUAGUCCCUGUCUCUUAUAC